UGAGCGCUGUGGAACAGCAAGGUCCCGCGAGACUCCGAAAUUGUGGUCUCUAGGAAGAGCGAGGUUGAGUUACAGCCCUGAGUAGGGUGGUUGCAGGCUCGGCUUCCGCCUCUGUACCUCUAGCUGCAUCUGUCUUUUUUCUCAUUUUGCGCUUCUUGUGUGAGGAAGACGUCGUAACUGUGUAGGGGAGGUUUCUGCGCCCCGGGGCGCUCGGGAGGAGACGGAAGAAGCGACUUUUCCAGCAGGGUAGCUAUGCUCGCCCGCGGAGGGCCCGCGGCCACAAAUCGCCGCCGGGAAGGUGUGGUUUCUGGUUUCGAGUCCGCCGCCCCCUUCAGAAGUAGCGCCAGAGGGGCGAGGGCGUCGUCGAUGGUUCCAGCCAGGCGCUUACUUUCCUAGUUCGGGACCCGGCUUGGUCUGACCGUCUUUACCCUGCUGGAUGAUGAGGAAACUGAGACACAGCGAGUUUAAAUACCUUUCUCAAAGUGAUGGGGCUUUGGUCUGAAGUCUCGCUGUAAAGGCCAUGUUCUUAACCAGUAGGCAUUGGCUGUGACAACUCUCCAUGUAUUCCAACAGGAUGGGGAUUUGGAUCAGAACAGGGGGCUUCUGGCUGCAUGUGAGAAAAUUCCUCACCUCUGACCAACUUCAGAAUUGUUCAUCAGUGUGGACACUGUCAUUAGAUUUAGGGUCACCCUAACACAGAUGACCUCAUCUUCAGAUCCUCAACUAUAUCUGAAAAGACCCUUUCCCAGGAGAUGACCAAGGCCCCAUAUGGACGGGGGCAAACAGCAGCCAUGUGAAUGGGGGUCUGGGGAGAAUGAGGACCCUGGAAGCACCAGGAAAGGAUCCAGGCCUGGCUUCAUCAGGAGGAGGCCCUGAGAAUGAACAUGUGCUGCCCUGAAGACUAACCAGGAGGAUUUGGGAGGGGCCGCUAGAAGGGAUGAGAUGACCAGCCUCCCAGGAUCCUUGGUGCCGGAGUCCAUCUUGGCUGAGAGAGCUAAACCCUCAACAAAUGGAAAACUGGAGAGGAGGACCACCAGCACCAGUCCUGGGGCUGCCGAACAUCAACUUUGAAGAGGAAUGCAAGCUUGCAUCUACCCUGAUCCUUACCUGUGGCCCUAUUUUCUACUGCCACACUGUGUAAAAUCCCUUCCUGAUCUCUCCCAAGGUGGGGCACAGUCUUUAGGGCAUUAGCCUGCUGUGGCCUCCUUUGCUUGGCAAAGCAAUAAAGCUAUUUUUUUUU
Molecule: long non-coding RNA, 1240 nt
Organism: Phacochoerus africanus (Common warthog)
Lineage: Eukaryota; Metazoa; Chordata; Mammalia; Artiodactyla; Suidae
Exons: 7
Source: RefSeq, a predicted model, not a curated record